AGAGUUUGAUCCUGGCUCAGAUUGAACGCUGGCGGCAUGGCUAAAACAUGCAAGUCGCACGCGAAAGUGGAGCUUGCUCCACGAGUAGAGUGGCGAAAGGGCGAGGAAUGCGCUUCUAACGUGCCCCAAGGUUAGGGAUAGCUCAGGGAAACCUGUGGUAAUACCUGAUAAUCCCGGUUGACUGCAUGGUCGGCCGGGCAAAGGCUUGCCGCCUUGGGAGCGGGGAACGUGCUAUCAGGUUGUUGGUGAGGUAACGGCUCACCAAGCCUUAGACGGCUAGCGGGUGUGAGAGCAUGACCCGCCGCAUCGGGACUGAGACACUGCCCGGACUCCUACGGGAGGCUGCAGUAACGAAUAUUCCGCAAUGCGCGAAAGCGUGACGGAGCAAUGCCGCGUGCAGGAUGAAGCCCCUCGGGGUGUAAACUGCUGUCAGGGGUCAGAAACACAAUGAUCAACCCCAGAGGAAGGGCCGGCUAACUUCGUGCCAGCAGCCGCGGUAAUACGAAGGGCCCAAGCGUUAAUCGGAAUCACUGGGCUUAAAGGGUGCGUAGGCGGGUCUGUAGGUGUCUUGUGAAAUCCCACGACUCAACCGUGGAACUGCUUGGCAAACCACAGACCUUGAGGUCGGUAGAGGUUGUCGGAACUCUAGGUGGAGCGGUGAAAUGCGUAGAUAUCUAGAGGAACGCUCAUGGCGAAGGCAGGCAACUGGGCCGAUUCUGACGCUGAGGCACGAAAGCGUGGGGAGCGAACGGGAUUAGAUACCCCGGUAGUCCACGCUGUAAACGAUGUGUACUAGAUCGUGGUCGUUUUGACGCGAGCACGGUUGGAGCAAAAGUAUUAAGUACACCGCCUGGGGAGUACGGUCGCAAGGCUAAAACUCAAAGGAAUUGACGGGUCCUCACACAAGCGGUGGAGCAUGUGGCUUAAUUCGAUUCAACGCGAAGAACCUUAUCCUGGGUUUGACAUACAUGGAUUAGCUGCUGGAAACAGUAGUGACACGGCUUGCCGUGGAACAUGAACAGGUGCUGCAUGGCUGUCGUCAGCUCGUGCUGUGAAGUGUAGGGUUAAGUCCCCUAACGAGCGAAACCCCUAUCGUUAGUUGCUACCAGGUAAUGCUGAGGACUCUAGCGAGACUGCCGGUGUCAAACCGGAGGAAGGUGGGGAUGACGUCAAGUCCUCAUGGCCUUUAUGCCCAGGGCUGCACACGUGCUACAAUGGCUACUACAGAGCGAAGCGAUACCGUAAGGUGGAGCAAAUCGCAAAAAGGUGGCCCCAGUUCGGAUCGGGGUCUGCAACUCGACCCCGUGAAGGUGGAAUCGCUAGUAAUCGCGUAUCAGCUACGACGCGGUGAAUACGUUCCUGAGGAUUGUACACACCGCCCGUCAAGUCAUGGAAGCCGGGAGUACCCGGAGCCGCCUUACUUCAAAGGUGUCUACGGUAAGCUCGGUGACUGGGACUAAGUCGAAACAAGGUA
This 1474-nucleotide ribosomal RNA is filed under the name metagenome. RNAcentral's name for it is "bacterial SSU rRNA". It matches the Rfam family "Bacterial small subunit ribosomal RNA". The record is from RNAcentral.